GCCCCUUUAGCUCAAUUGGUAGAGCAACGGUAUCGUAAACCGUAGGUUGUCAGUUCGAAUCUGAUGAGGGGCUCAA
RNAcentral lists this transfer RNA (76 nucleotides) under Candidatus Moraniibacteriota bacterium. RNAcentral describes it as "Candidatus Moranbacteria bacterium (sediment metagenome) tRNA-Thr". It matches the Rfam family "tRNA". From Rfam's summary of the family: Transfer RNA (tRNA) molecules are approximately 80 nucleotides in length. Their secondary structure includes four short double-helical elements and three loops (D, anti-codon, and T loops). The record is from RNAcentral. Lineage: Bacteria; Candidatus Moraniibacteriota.